UACGGGGGGGGCAAGCGUUGUUCGGAAUUACUGGGCGUAAAGGGCUCGUAGGCGGCCAACUAAGUCAGACGUGAAAUCCCUCAGCUUAACUGGGGAACUGCGUGUGAUACUGGAUGGCUUGGAUUUGGGAGAGGGAUGCGGAAUUCCAGGUGUAGCGGUGAAAUGCGUAGAUAUCUGGAGGAACACCGGUGGCGAAGGCGGCAUCCUGGACCAACACUGACGCUGAGGAGCGAAAGCCAGGGGAGCAAACGGG
Molecule: ribosomal RNA, 253 nt
Filed under: uncultured bacterium
Lineage: Bacteria
Description: partial 16S ribosomal RNA
Rfam family: Bacterial small subunit ribosomal RNA
Source: RNAcentral